Molecule: long non-coding RNA, 99 nt
Organism: Cryptotermes secundus
Lineage: Eukaryota; Metazoa; Arthropoda; Insecta; Blattodea; Kalotermitidae
Exons: 4
Source: RefSeq, a predicted model, not a curated record
UUCUCACAAUAAAUACAAAUUAUUUUCCCAAACAUCAUUAACUGGUUGUUCUUUGUAGCGGUGAUAUAAUGUGUUUCCUGUGAGGUACGAACUGAAACU